Molecule: ribosomal RNA, 468 nt
Filed under: uncultured bacterium
Lineage: Bacteria
Description: partial 16S ribosomal RNA
Rfam family: Bacterial small subunit ribosomal RNA
Source: RNAcentral
GACGAACGCUGGCGGCGUGCUUAACACAUGCAAGUCGAACGGAAAGGCCCUGCUUUUGUGGGGUGCUCGAGUGGCGAACGGGUGAGUAACACGUGAGUAACCUGCCCUUGACUUUGGGAUAACUUCAGUAAACUGGGGCUAAUACCGGAUAGGAGCUCCUGCUGCAUGGUGGGUGUUGUAAAGUUUCGGCGGUUGGGGAUGGACUCGCGGCUUAUCAGCUUGUUGGUGGGGUAGUGGCUUACCAAGGCUUUGACGGGUAGCCGGCCUGAGAGGGUGACCGGCCACAUUGGGACUGAGGUAGGGCCCAGAGUCCUACGGGAGGCAGCAGUGGGGAAUAGUGCACAAUGGGCGGAAGCCUGAUGCAGCAACGCCGCGUGCGGGAUGACGGCCUUCGGGUUGUAAACCGCUUUCGCGUGUGACGAAGCGUGAGUGACGGUAAUGGGUAAAGAAGCACCGGCUAACUACGUG